AAUGAGGUGGCUGAAUUUUAGGUGAUAAAUUGUAAAUUUAUUUAUGGUUGAUAACCCUUCAUUA
Molecule: transfer RNA, 64 nt
Filed under: Metcalfa pruinosa
Lineage: Eukaryota; Metazoa; Arthropoda; Insecta; Hemiptera; Flatidae
Description: tRNA-Tyr
Source: RNAcentral